AUUGAACGCUGGCGGCAUGCCUUACACAUGCAAGUCGAACGGUAACAGGUCUUCGGAUGCUGACGAGUGGCGGACGGGUGCGUAAUACAUCGGCACGUGUCCGAUCGCGGGGGAACACGAAGAGCAAGCUUUGCUAAUACCGCAUACGAUAUACGGAUGAAAACCGCGGACCGCAAGGCCUUACGACAAUGGUGCGGCCGCUGAUAGAUUAGGUAGUUGGUAGGUUAAAAGCUUACCAAGCCAACGAUGAGUAGCUGGCCUGAGAGGACGACCCGCCACAAUGGAACUGAGACACGGCCCAGACUCCUACGGGAGGCAGCAGUAGGGAAUCUUGGACAAUGGGCGAAAGCCUGACCCAGCCACGCCGCGUGCAGGAUGAAGGUCUUCGGGUUGUAAACUGCUUUUGUACGGGACGAAAAGACUCUGAUUAAUACCUGGAGUCCAUGACGGUACCGUAAGAAUAAGCACCGGCUAACUACGUG
RNAcentral lists this ribosomal RNA (482 nucleotides) under uncultured bacterium. RNAcentral describes it as "partial 16S ribosomal RNA". It matches the Rfam family "Bacterial small subunit ribosomal RNA", at positions 30 to 507 of the family's 1533-position model. The record is from RNAcentral.